RNAcentral lists this ribosomal RNA (301 nucleotides) under uncultured bacterium. RNAcentral's name for it is "partial 16S ribosomal RNA". It matches the Rfam family "Bacterial small subunit ribosomal RNA", at positions 509 to 807 of the family's 1533-position model. The record is from RNAcentral.
CAGUCGCCACGGGAAUACGUUGGGUGCGAGCGUUAAUCGGAAUUACUGGGCGUAAAGCGUGCGCAGGCGGUUGUGUAAGACAGGUGUGAAAUCCCCGGGCUUAACCUGGGAACUGCGCUUGUGACUGCACAGCUAGAGUAUGGCAGAGGGGGGUGGAAUUCCACGUGUAGCAGUGAAAUGCAUAGAGAUGUGGAGGAACACCGAUGGCGAAGGCAGCCCCCUGGGCCAAUACUGACGCUCAUGCACGAAAGCGUGGGGAGCAAACAGGAUUAGAUACCCGCGUAGUCCCUGUCUCUUAUAC